UGGGGAAUCUUGGACAAUGGGGGCAACCCUGAUCCAGCCAUGCCGCGUGAGUGAUGAAGGCCUUAGGGUCGUAAAGCUCUUUCGCCUGUGAAGAUAAUGACGGUAGCAGGUAAAGAAACCCCGGCUAACUCCGUGCCAGCAGCCGCGGUAAUACGGAGGGGGUUAGCGUUGUUCGGAAUUACUGGGCGUAAAGCGCACGUAGGCGGACCAGAAAAGUUGGGGGGUGAAAUCCCGGGGGCUCAACCCCGGAACUGCCUCCAAAACUAUUGGUCUAGAGUUCGAGAGAGGUGAGUGGAAUUCCAAGUGUAGAGGUGAAAUUCGUAGAUAUUUGGAGGAACACCAGUGGCGAAAGGCGGCUCACUGGCUCGAUACUGACGCUGAGGUGCGAAAAGUGUGGGGGAGCAAAACAGGAUUAGAUACCCCUGGUAGUCCACGCCGUAAAACGGUGGGGCGCUAGGUGU
RNAcentral lists this ribosomal RNA (461 nucleotides) under uncultured bacterium. RNAcentral describes it as "bacterial SSU rRNA". It matches the Rfam family "Bacterial small subunit ribosomal RNA", at positions 355 to 823 of the family's 1533-position model. The record is from RNAcentral.